Molecule: ribosomal RNA, 494 nt
Filed under: uncultured bacterium
Lineage: Bacteria
Description: bacterial SSU rRNA
Rfam family: Bacterial small subunit ribosomal RNA
Source: RNAcentral
AAAUGAAUUGACGGGGGCCCGCACAAGCGGAGGAACAUGUGGUUUAAUUCGAUGAUACGCGAGGAACCUUACCCGGGCUCGAACGGUGCAUGAAUGAUUCAGAGAUGGAUUAGUCCUUCGGGACAUGUAUCGAGGUGCUGCAUGGUUGUCGUCAGCUCGUGCCGUGAGGUGUCGGCUUAAGUGCCAUAACGAGCGCAACCCUUGUCGUUAGUUGCCAUCAGGUAAUGCUGGGAACUCUAGCGAGACUGCCACCGUAAGGUGCGAGGAAGGGGGGGAUGACGUCAAAUCAGCACGGCCCUUACGUCCGGGGCGACACACGUGUUACAAUGGCAGGUACAGAGGGCAGCUACCCAGCGAUGGGGUGCGAAUCUCGAAAGCCUGUCUCAGUUCGGAUCGGAGUCUGCAACUCGACUCCGUGAAGUUGGAUUCGCUAGUAAUCGCGCAUCAGCCAUGGCGCGGUGAAUACGUUCCCGGGCCUUGUACACACCGCCCGU